CCUACGGGGGGCUGCAGUGGGGAAUCUUGCGCAAUGGCCGAAAGGCUGACGCAGCGACGCCGCGUGGAGGAUGACGCCCUUCGGGGUGUAAACUCCUGUUGCCCGGGACGAACGACCUGUUUCGACAGGUGUGACGGUACCGGGUGAGGAAGCACCGGCUAACUCUGUGCCAGCAGCCGCGGUAAUACAGAGGGUGCGAGCGUUGUCCGGAAUCACUGGGCGUAAAGGGCGCGUAGGCGGCUGGGUAAGCGAAAGUCCGGGGCUCAACCCCGGAUCGGCCAUGCGAACUGUCCAGCUGGAGCACGGUAGAGGCACAUGGAAUUCCGGGUGUAGCGGUGGAAUGCGUAGAGAUCCGGAAGAACACCGGUGGCGAAGGCGGUGUGCUGGGCCGUAGCUGACGCUGAGGCGCGACAGCGUGGGGAGCAAACAGGAUUAGAUACCCUAGUAGUC
This 450-nucleotide ribosomal RNA is filed under the name uncultured bacterium. RNAcentral's name for it is "partial 16S ribosomal RNA". It matches the Rfam family "Bacterial small subunit ribosomal RNA", at positions 338 to 795 of the family's 1533-position model. The record is from RNAcentral.